CAAUAGCGUAUAUUUAAGUUGUUGCAGUUAGAAAGCUCGUAGUUGGAUUUCGGGUGGGACGCAGCGGUCUCGCAUUGCGUUUGUACUGCUGCAGCCCUCCUUCUUGCCGGGGGCGGCCUCUCGGACUUCACUGUCUGGGGGUCAGAAUCGGCGAUGUUACUUUGAGUAAAUUAGAGUGUUCAAAGCAAGCUUACGCUCUGAAUAUAAUAGCAUGGGAUAACACGACAGGACUCUGGCCUAUCGUGUUGGUCUAUAGGACCAGAGUAAUGAUUAAGAGGGACAGUCGGGGGCAUUCGUAUUCCGUUGUCAGAGGUGAAAUUCUUGGAUUUACGGAAGACGAACAUCUGCGAAAGCAUUUGCCAAGGAUGUUUUCAUUG
RNAcentral lists this ribosomal RNA (377 nucleotides) under uncultured eukaryote. RNAcentral describes it as "partial 18S ribosomal RNA". It matches the Rfam family "Eukaryotic small subunit ribosomal RNA", at positions 592 to 975 of the family's 1831-position model. The record is from RNAcentral.